GAGCUAAAUAUAAAAGUAUUUGAGAGUCUCUGUUAUGAUAAAACUUCUGCAAGCAGUUUUAGUACUGCAUAUAAUAAAAAAAAUUCAUCAGCAUUUGAUUAUUGUCAUAAAGACAAGGAACUCUUAAACAAUAAAGAGAUGGAAUCUAAAGAAACGAUAAGUUCACCAUUUUCACAGCCAAAGCUAAACUCCCCUAAGAAAAUGAAAAUACAAUUCAAAUCACAUUUGUAUUGAACCUAACACAGUGAAUUCAUAAAGAAAAAAUUAAACUCAUGAUGCACUUAAAUUGCAGCCGCUAUCCCCAUGGCACAUCAUGUGCAACAUUGCUAAUUUGGUAGAGCCUCAAUUUCAUUUCAAUCAGGUAGUUACAAAAACUUAAAAAUCUUAUAAUAUAUGAAUAAAAAAUGAAAAAUAUUAACAAGAAGCAAAUAAUCGAAUUGAAUAUACAACAAAAAAACGAGACAAUUACUGAACAUAACGAUUACAAAGAAUACAAGGCAUACUUGAUCUUGGAAAUGGAAUGUGUGGAAUGGAUCAAGCGCGAAAGCAAUGUCUUCAUUUUACGAUAAUUAAAAAUAUAGUUGACGCCUCAGCUCCUGGUACCAGUACAUGUCCCUCAUCACCUUCCUCAUCUACGAAGGCUUCUCUCUUCCCACCAUCGAGCAAAUCAGAAGCAUCUUUAGCGUGGAACAUAAUCGUCUUAUCGCUGUCAUGCAGGUCCACAACU
This 727-nucleotide long non-coding RNA is filed under the name Phaseolus vulgaris (common bean). RNAcentral describes it as "long non-coding RNA (PVUL_LNC000652)". The record is from RNAcentral. Lineage: Eukaryota; Viridiplantae; Streptophyta; Magnoliopsida; Fabales; Fabaceae.